RNAcentral lists this long non-coding RNA (425 nucleotides) under Salvia miltiorrhiza (redroot sage). RNAcentral's name for it is "long non-coding RNA (SMIL_LNC009460)". Lineage: Eukaryota; Viridiplantae; Streptophyta; Magnoliopsida; Lamiales; Lamiaceae. The record is from RNAcentral.
AACCAGGGGGUUUAGCCCACUGGCCACCGGGUCCUCACUUAAGUGAAGUGACCCGGGUUCGAUCCCUCUUGGGAGCGAAUUGGAGAUUGGAGAUAUAAGGUGGAUUUGGUGAUUUGGUGAAUGGAGAGAUAAGGUGGUUCUUGGAGUGGAUGGGGGGAACUAACUACUAACAUCUAACAUAACUUUGCCCGAUCAAAAAAAAAAACAAUUAAUUAUGUUGUUGUUUUACUACAUGCACAAUAAAAUACUACAAAUCGCACUUGAAUCAAAGGCAACAAGGCAAUUCAUAUUAGCUAUAAAAAUCGAUAAUAGAGAUGAUUAGUUAAAGUCUAAGACUUACGUGUCAACGAUGAAUUUCCAUGUGGCAUCGCGAUUCCGAUGAGAUAUUGAAUCCAUCAAUAUGAGACACGAUCUUUCACAAGAUC